RNAcentral lists this ribosomal RNA (433 nucleotides) under uncultured bacterium. RNAcentral describes it as "partial 16S ribosomal RNA". It matches the Rfam family "Bacterial small subunit ribosomal RNA", at positions 29 to 507 of the family's 1533-position model. The record is from RNAcentral.
AACGAACGCUGGCGGCAUGCCUAACGCAUGCAAGUCGAGCGAGCACUUCCGGGCUUCAGCCGCAGACGGGCGUGAAACACGUGGACAUGCCCCUUUGGGCGCAGUAUAUCCCCGGGAGACGUGCGCAAAUACGGUAUACUCUUCUGUCCAAAGAUUUAUAGCCGCUGGAUGGGCCCGCGUUGGAUUAGCUAGUUGGUAGGGUAAAAGCCUACCAAGGCGACGAUCUCUAGCUGGUCUGAGAGGAUGAUCAGCCACACUGGGACUGAGACACGGCCCAGACUCCUACGGGAGGCAGCAGUGGGGAAUAUUGGACAAUGGGCGAAAGCCUGAUCCAGCAAUGCCGCGUGAGUGAUGAAGGCCUUAGGGUUGUAAAGCUCUUUUGUCCGGGACGAUAAUGACAGUACCGGGAGAAUAAGCCCCGGCUAACUCCGUG